This is a long non-coding RNA of Syzygium oleosum, 996 nucleotides long. RefSeq lists it as uncharacterized. The record is from RefSeq and is a predicted model, not a curated record. The transcript has 3 exons. Lineage: Eukaryota; Viridiplantae; Streptophyta; Magnoliopsida; Myrtales; Myrtaceae.
AUUGCAGAGCUGAAACUAUCUGUUGAGAGGUUUUUGAAAGACUGAAAGUCUAGCCAGUUAGUCUAAUAUAGUUCCCAAUAAUUUGGACGAUUGUAUUUUGAUUUGGUAUAAUAAUCGGCACCUGCAUGGAGGUCUUUUGGAGUCUUUAUUCACAGAGAGUUGUUGUGAUUCAGGUUUUGAAGCUAUUCGAUGUUUGGCUGCCAAACUUUGUUGGGUUAAUAAAGAACUCACAGGUUCUUACUUUGGGAAGCUGCUGUCAAAGUUGGCUUGGAAUGGUUGUAUCCACGAUGGUUGGAAGUCUUGGAAUCAAAAUUUUGCGACGUUGAGAUCUUAUUGCAGUUGAUUUUGCUGUCAGAAUGAUAGAGUGAUAAAGAACCUUUGGUGGCACUAAGGCCUCGGAUUAUGCCUGGUAGGCCUAAAGAGAAAAGGAUAACAGAGGAAGGAGAAUCUAAAAAUGGAUUCAAAAUGUCAAGACAGGCACAGAAAUCACAUGCCAUUUGUGCUUCAAGCGAGGCCACGAAUCAAGAAAUUGCCCAUGGAAACAAACAAAAGGAGAAGGUAACGUUUAUUCAUUCUGUGUUUCUAGUCUCUGUUUGUAUCAAUAUUUCUGACUUUGUUUUCUAAAGUGAACAGGAUGAAGAGAUAGCCAGACAAAGAGAAGGAACCAACUUGUCACAGAGAUGCAUCAUAACAAUGUCACCGCUCAAAAGCGUUGAUGGGAAGGCAGUGGAGUCAUUUCUCUACCAAGAGAUACCAAUAAUGUUGUGGUCAAUGCUAAGAAGGUAGAGAGCUCAUCUCACAUAUUUAUCACUACAGUAGGAUCAGAGGCAGAGCUUUAUGGUAAUAAACGAGUUGUUAUGUAAUAUGGAUUUCUUUCGUCCAGCAGCAAAAGGAAGACGGUAUGAAAGAGAAGGAAGAGAAAUGAAAACAAGCGGGUGGAGCAUUUGAAGGACACUGGAAGUUUUGGAUCAACAAGAUCGACAGGUAAAAGGAAAA